Molecule: ribosomal RNA, 497 nt
Filed under: uncultured bacterium
Lineage: Bacteria
Description: partial 16S ribosomal RNA
Rfam family: Bacterial small subunit ribosomal RNA
Source: RNAcentral
GAUGAACGCUGGCGGCGUGCCUAAUACAUGCAAGUCGAGCGAACAGACGAGGAGCUUGCUCCUCUGACGUUAGCGGCGGACGGGUGAGUAACACGUGUAUAACCUACCUAUAAGACUGGGAUAACUUCGGGAAACCGGAGCUAAUACCGGAUAAUAUAUUGAACCGCAUUGUUCAAUAGUGAAAGACGGUUUUGCUGUCACUUAUAGAUGGAUCCGCGCCGCAUUAGCUAGUUGGUAAGGUAACGGCUUACCAAGGCGACGAUGCGUAGCCGACCUGAGAGGGUGAUCGGCCACACGGGAACUGAGACACGGUCCAGACUCCUACGGGAGGCAGCAGUAGGGAAUCUUCCGCAAUGGGCGAAAGCCUGACGGAGCAACGCCGCGUGAGUGAUGAAGGUCUUCGGAUCGUAAAACUCUGUUAUUAGGGAAGAACAAAUGUGUAAGUAACUAUGCACGUAUUGACGGUAACUAAUCAGAAAGCCACGGCUAACUACGUG